CUCAAGAUCCCCUAGUAACGGCGAGUGAAGCGGGAUGAGCUCAAAUUUGUAAUCUGGCGGUCUCUGGCCGUCCGAGUUGUAGUCUGGAGAAGCGUCUUCCGCGUCGGACCGUGUACAAGUCCCUUGGAACAGGGCGUCGUAGAGGGUGAGAAUCCCGUCUUUGACACGGACUGCCGAUGCUUUGCGAUGCGCUCUCGAAGAGUCGAGUUGUUUGGGAAUGCAGCUCAAAACGGGUGGUAAAUUCCAUCUAAAGCUAAAUAUGGGCGAAAGACCGAUAGCGAACAAGUACCGUGAGGGAAAGAUGAAAAGCACUUUGGAAAGAGAGUUAAACAGUACGUGAAAUUGUUGAAAGGGAAACGCUUGAAGUCAGUCGCGUCUCCUGGGACUCAGCCUUGCUUCUGCUUGGUGUACUUCCUGGGGUGACGGGCCAGCAUCGAUUUUGACCGUCGGAGAAGGCCUUGGGAAUGUGGCACCUUCGGGUGUGUUAUAGCCUUCGGUCGUAUGCGACGGUCGGGAUCGAGGACCGCAGCACGCCUUUUUGGCCGGGGUUCGCCCACGCACGUGCUUAGGAUGCUGGCGUAAUGGCUUUAAGCGACCCGUCUU
This 603-nucleotide ribosomal RNA is filed under the name Gautieria graveolens. Its description in RNAcentral is "eukaryotic LSU rRNA". It matches the Rfam family "Eukaryotic large subunit ribosomal RNA", at positions 68 to 655 of the family's 3401-position model. The record is from RNAcentral. Lineage: Eukaryota; Fungi; Basidiomycota; Agaricomycetes; Gomphales; Gomphaceae.